AUACGGAGGGUCCAAGCGCUAUCCGGAAUCAUUGGGUUUAAAGGGUCCGCAGGCGGCCAAUUAAGUCAGAGGUGAAAGCCCAUCGCUCAACGAUGGAACUGCCUUUGAUACUGGUUGACUUGAGUUAUACGGAAGUAGGUAGAAUAAGUAGUGUAGCGGUGAAAUGCAUAGAUAUUACUUAGAAUACCGAUUGCGAAGGCAGUCUACUACGUAUAUACUGACGCUGAGGGACGAAAGCGUGGGGAGCGAACAGGAUUAGAAACCCCAGUAGUCC
This 274-nucleotide ribosomal RNA is filed under the name uncultured bacterium. RNAcentral's name for it is "partial 16S ribosomal RNA". It matches the Rfam family "Bacterial small subunit ribosomal RNA", at positions 523 to 796 of the family's 1533-position model. The record is from RNAcentral.